UACGUAGGGUGCGAGCGUUGUCCGGAAUUAUUGGGCGUAAAGAGCUCGUAGGCGGUCUGUCGCGUCGGUCGUGAAAACUUGGGGCUUAACCCUGAGCUUGCGGUCGAUACGGGCAUGACUGGAGUUCGGCAGGGGAGACUGGAAUUCCUGGUGUAGCGGUGGAAUGCGCAGAUAUCAGGAGGAACACCGGUGGCGAAGGCGGGUCUCUGGGCAGUAACUGACGCUGAGGAGCGAAAGCGCGGGGAGCGAACAGG
This 254-nucleotide ribosomal RNA is filed under the name uncultured bacterium. RNAcentral's name for it is "partial 16S ribosomal RNA". It matches the Rfam family "Bacterial small subunit ribosomal RNA", at positions 524 to 776 of the family's 1533-position model. The record is from RNAcentral.